Stegostoma tigrinum is the source of this 821-nucleotide long non-coding RNA. RefSeq lists it as uncharacterized. The record is from RefSeq and is a predicted model, not a curated record. Lineage: Eukaryota; Metazoa; Chordata; Chondrichthyes; Orectolobiformes; Stegostomatidae. The transcript is spliced from 3 exons.
CCAGUGUGAUAGGAGGCCAUUCAGACAACAGCUAAAGUCCAACCAGGGCCCAUGACUGAUCCAUGUAUCUGCAGAUUGCUCAGGCCUGGCGAAUGUAUAGAGGGAACAUAUCAAAGUAGCAUCUGGGAUGAGGGACUGCAGUUACUUGAAGAGAUUGGAGGAGCUGGGGAUGUGCUUUUUGCAGCAGUGACAUGUGUCUGCCACCAGAAUGAUUUCCAAUUGUUCCCUAAUGUUGAUGCAUUGAACUGAAAAUUGCCAGCCUUGUUUGUCCUGCUGUAUUUGUAUAAUGCCUGGAGGUCACUAUGCGACUGCCAUUUGUGUUGAAAGACAUGGCGAGAACAACAUCUUUGUGGCAGUCCAAGAUUUUCACUGGAUUAUGAAUCACUUGCUCUCCCGAAUUCAGGUUCCAAAUCAUAACCUGCAACAACAGAGAUAAGAAAUGUAUUUAACAACCAUCACACUUUCUAUUGAAUGUCCUUCUAUUGAGUGUUAACAAGAGAGUUCAAAUACAUUAGUAGUAUAUUUGCAGGAAAGAAAAAUGGUCAUUCAUGCACAUGGCUACACUAGUUCCUUGAUCUUGAGAACGCACUGGCAGAGUCAGACCGGGAAACUAUAUGGGUACUGUUUUCAUCACACAAAUUCUCCCUCUUACAGUCCAAUCCAGAAAACAUAGUACACAUUCCCUGAAACAAGGGAGAGACAGAGACAGACAGAUUAAUAAGUACAAGGAAUAACCGAGUUAAGUUUGAAAUGUCUAAAUUAUCAAGAGUCUGGCUCCCAGACAACAAAAAAAAUAAAAACAGAACAUAAAAUAUGUGUGU